GACGAACGCUGGCGGCGUGCUUAACACAUGCAAGUCGAACGAAGAGCGAUGGACGCUUGCUUCUAUCAAUCUUAGUGGCGGACGGGUGAGUAACGCGUAAUCAACCUGCCCUUCAGAGGGGGACAACAGUUGGAAACGACUGCUAAUACCGCAUACGAUCUAAUCUCGGCAUCGAGGAUAGAUGAAAGGUGGCCUCUACAUGUAAGCUAUCACUGAAGGAGGGGAUUGCGUCUGAUUAGCAAGUUGGAGGGGUAACGGCCCACCAAGGCGAUGAUCAGGAGCAGGUCUGAGAGGAUGAACGGCCACAUUGGGACUGUGACACGGCCCAGACGCCUACGGGAGGCAGCAGUGGGGAAUCUUCCGCAAUGGACGAAAGUCUGACGGAGCAACGCCGCGUGAGUGAUGACGGCCUUCGGGUUGUAAAGCUCUGUUAAUCGGGACGAAAGGCCUUCUUGCGAAUAGUGAGAAGGAUUGACGGUACCGGAAUAGAAAGCCACGGCUAACUACGUG
This 510-nucleotide ribosomal RNA is filed under the name uncultured bacterium. RNAcentral's name for it is "partial 16S ribosomal RNA". It matches the Rfam family "Bacterial small subunit ribosomal RNA", at positions 28 to 507 of the family's 1533-position model. The record is from RNAcentral.